AGAAUCAACGCUGGCGGCGUGCCUAACACAUGCAAGUCGAACGAGAAAGUGGGAGCAAUCCCAUGAGUAAAGUGGCGCACGGGUGAGUAACACGUGACUAACCUACCCUUGAGUGGGGGAUAACCUAGAGAAAUCUGGGCUAAUACCGCAUAAUACCUUCGGGUCAAGGGAGCAAUUCGCUUAAGGAGGGGGUCGCGGCCGAUUAGUUAGUUGGCGGGGUAAUGGCCCACCAAGACUAUGAUCGGUA
This 247-nucleotide ribosomal RNA is filed under the name uncultured bacterium. Its description in RNAcentral is "partial small subunit ribosomal RNA". It matches the Rfam family "Bacterial small subunit ribosomal RNA", at positions 26 to 285 of the family's 1533-position model. The record is from RNAcentral.